CAGCCGCCACGAGAAAACGAAGGGUGCAAGCGUUAAUCGGAAUUACUGGGCGUAAAGCGUGCGUAGGCGGUGAGUUAAGUCUGCUGUGAAAUCCCCGGGCUCAACCUGGGAAUGGCAGUGGAUACUGGCUCGCUAGAGUGUGUCAGAGGAUGGUGGAAUUCCCGGUGUAGCGGUGAAAUGCGUAGAGAUCGGGAGGAACAUCAGUGGCGAAGGCGGCCAUCUGGGACAACACUGACGCUGAGGCACGAAAGCGUGGGGAGCAAACAGGAUUAGAUACCCGCGUAGUCCCUGUCUCUUAUAC
This 301-nucleotide ribosomal RNA is filed under the name uncultured bacterium. Its description in RNAcentral is "partial 16S ribosomal RNA". It matches the Rfam family "Bacterial small subunit ribosomal RNA", at positions 509 to 807 of the family's 1533-position model. The record is from RNAcentral.